CUAAUGCCACCCGAGCUCUGGAGCAGGCUUUUCUUCUUACAAAUUUGUGGUCUAAUUCUCCGACGUUACCCUCCGCGCACCACCUUUUUUAAUCCUUUCUCCUUUUUUCCUAUUUUUUGUUUUCUUUUCGUCUUAUUUCCUGUUUUCUUCUUUUUCUUGUUUUGUUUCUCUUCUUGCUUUUCUUUUGCCCCGGAAGCCCUGGCUGCUUCCAUACUGUUUGCCUAGUUCACUUAUCAAUGAAUGAAGUAGGUAGCUAGUCUACCUCGUUCUCAAAAAAAAAAAAACAAAUAUUCAUAGUAAUCUGCUCCUAAGUAU
Molecule: long non-coding RNA, 315 nt
Filed under: Ananas comosus (pineapple)
Lineage: Eukaryota; Viridiplantae; Streptophyta; Magnoliopsida; Poales; Bromeliaceae
Description: long non-coding RNA (ACOM_LNC011045)
Source: RNAcentral